AGCGAACGCUGGCGGCAGGCUUAACACAUGCAAGUCGAGCGGGCCCUUCGGGGUCAGCGGCAGACGGGUGAGUAACACGUGGGAACGUACCCUUUGGUUCGGAAUAACGCUGGGAAACUAGCGCUAAUACCGGAUACGCCCUUUUGGGGAAAGGCUUGCUGCCGAAGGAUCGGCCCGCGUCUGAUUAGCUAGUUGGUGGGGUAAUGGCCUACCAAGGCGACGAUCAGUAGCUGGUCUGAGAGGAUGAUCAGCCACACUGGGACUGAGACACGGCCCAGACUCCUACGGGAGGCAGCAGUGGGGAAUAUUGGACAAUGGGCGCAAGCCUGAUCCAGCCAUGCCGCGUGAGUGACGAAGGCCUUAGGGUUGUAAAGCUCUUUUGUCCGGGACGAUAAUGACGGUACCGGAAGAAUAAGCCCCGGCUAACUUCGUG
RNAcentral lists this ribosomal RNA (433 nucleotides) under uncultured bacterium. RNAcentral describes it as "partial 16S ribosomal RNA". It matches the Rfam family "Bacterial small subunit ribosomal RNA", at positions 29 to 507 of the family's 1533-position model. The record is from RNAcentral.